UCCCUCCCUGCCUGCCUGCCUGCCUGCCUGCAGCCGCAGCGCAGGAGCAGGAGGGAGCGGCGGCGCAGCAGGCAGAGCCGCCCGGCCCGCGCCCGGCGGAGGCAGCAGGGCGGGCGGGCGGGCGGUGGCUGCGCCCGGGCCCCGCCGCCCCGCCGGCAGGCUCCGCCCGUCGCUCCCAUGGCGCCGCGGCCCCGCGCCAGGUGAGGCUGCGCUGCCUGUUGCGCCGCUGGGGCGCGGGCCGAGCCGAGCCGCGCCAGGCUGAGCCGCCGGGGGCGACACGCCGCGAAGUUUUGCGGGAAGGCGCCGCUCCGCGAUGUGUGCUUCUAAGAAGAGUAUUGACCAUGAGGAAGUCCCCGUGUUAGUCCAUUUUUCCUAAUCCCACCAAAGACAAUGAAGCCCCGUUUCAGCUUUGCUGGUCCUUUUACCACCACUGUUGGCUGAAUGAGAAAUGGUCGUGUGAUUAUGCUGACACCCCAGCAUGCAUUUGGUAGACCUGUGGUUAACUCGUUCCCUCUCCAUGUGUCUGCUCUUACAAAGUUUUGUCCUCAUGAUACUGUGCUUUCAUUCUGCCAGUAUGUGCCCGAAAGGCUGCCUCUGUUCUCACUCCGGAGGUCUGAAUGUCAGCUGUAGCAAUGCGAACCUCAAGGAAAUACCCAGAGAUCUUCCUCCAGAAACAGUCUUACUUUAUUUGGACUCCAAUCAGAUAACGUCAAUCCCCAAUGAGAUUUUUAAGGACUUGCACCAACUGAGAGUCCUCAAUUUAUCAAAAAAUGGGAUUGAAUUUAUAGAUGAACAUGCCUUUAAAGGGGUGGCAGAAACCUUGCAGACUCUGGAUUUGUCUGACAACCGGAUUCAAAGCGUGCACAAAAACGCUUUCAACAACUUAAAGGCCAGAGCCAGAAUUGCAAACAAUCCCUGGCACUGUGACUGCACGCUGCAGCAGGUGUUGAGGAGCAUGGCCUCCAACCAUGAGACGGCCAACAACGUCAUCUGCAAGACCUCUGUGCUGGAUGAACACGCGGGGAGACCAUUCCUCAACGCUGCCAACGAUGCUGACCUCUGCAACCUUCCUAAAAAGACUACCGAUUACGCCAUGCUGGUCACCAUGUUUGGCUGGUUCACCAUGGUGAUCUCAUACGUGGUUUAUUACGUCCGGCAAAAUCAGGAGGAUGCAAGGAGGCACCUUGAGUACUUGAAAUCCCUGCCAAGCAGGCAAAAGAAACCAGACGAAGCCGAUGACAUUAGCACUGUGGUAUAGUAUUCUGAAUACAAUGACUGCCUUUGUGAUGGAAACUAGAUUUGGAUGACAUUAAAACCAGAGGUUUACUUCUAACGUUCAUUGUAAACAUUAAGACUUUUGGGGUUUUUUUUUCUGUUUAACUGAAUUACGCCACUGUUGAGCUUUCUAACAGAAAGUUUUGUCCGGGUGGUAUACUUUAAUUAUUUCUCUGGUGGUAUCCUAAAGCAAGUGAAUUAAUAGAAUUAAUUAGACCCAUUCCACUAUUUAAUAACGAAAUUUAUUUUUUUAAUUUAAAAACCAAAUAAAAGCUUAAAUUUGAACCAUGUAAACCAGAGUAAUUUAUUGAUCAGAAACCUGUCCAGUGCCAGAGCACGCUUGGUUUGAUUAGUGCUCACAAGGUAGAAGAGUAGAGCAAUGGCAAAGUGGGCUGUGAGAGGUCCUGGAGUAGAGAGUCCCUGAAGGGCACCUCGGUCCCUGGGGUGCAAGGUGAAGAGUUCAUGAAUGGUAGCCCAUUUUUGGGGCUGCUCGCCAUGACGGGAGAGGGGUGCAGUGUGAUGAGAGCAGAAUGCCCUGAGUCUGGGUGUAAGGGUUCGAUGAUUGGGUAAGACCCCGGAGGGCGUUUCGGCAGUGCUGGGGAGAAGCCAACAUGAAGGAGCUGCAUUGCAGGACAUCGAAGAGAGGUGUUGGAUUGAGCAAAAAGGAGAACCAAUUUUUCGGGACAAACUGAGAAGAUGCCUGUGAAAGGCGCUGCAUGGUCUGGCUGAAGAUUUGGAGAGUGAGCAGCAGGCAUCCCUCACUGCAGGCCUGAUGAAGCUGAUUCUGAUGAACUGUGUUUGAAACACCAUUUCUCAACCCUUGUGGAAAACCACAUCGGUUCAUGACACGUAGGCUUCAGCUGUUCCAGCCUCCUGUCGCCGUGUGUGUGUGUGUGCGCGCACUUGCGUGGGUGCGGUACCAUUCACCUCAGCUAGGCCUUGCUGGUAGGAGAGCAGGAAUGUAUAUGUCCGACAUUGUGGGUUAGUGCAUAUACAGCAAUAUCCCGGGGAAGCUAUCCACAGGCUUACUGGGCAGUGGGUGGGAGAGGGUCAGAGGGUGCUGGCCAUGUUCAUGUGCGGUUCCUCUAUUGAUAUAAAAGGUUCAUGAUUAUUUUGUCUUCUGUUCUCUUGCUGGCCUAAUACUGGAACUUCUUUCUGUAAAAAUGAAGGCAGAGUAAUUAAAUCAUUACUUAUCACUGCCAUAAUGCAGAAGCACUUAAUUACUGCAUGUUAUAUGUCACGUCAGUGCCUGCCAGGUUGCUUUUGUCUGAGGCCACUUCCCCAGGGCAAGGAGUCAGCCAAGUUCUCGGUGCCUCCCUGCCCAACUGCGGGGCACCUGCCUCUGAGCAAAACACGCCUUGCUUGCCUGACAGCUAUGCUCAGGGGGUGUGUGGGGGUUCUCCAUGUCCUUCAGUGGCAAACUAUCUGCCUGUGUCUCAGACAUUGUGCAUUUCCACAUGUAAAGUUCAUCUCUUAUCGGAGAGAAGUGAUCAGGCAGAGGGACAGGGCGAGGGGUGACGGGAAUUUGCUGCUUGUUUUCCCAGGGAGAAAGGAGUAGCUGGGGUAGAUGAAGGAGGACCUGAUUUGAAGCAAGGGAUUACAGGAAUGGCUGGAAAAGCCAUUAAAACCCAGAAACCUGAUAGUGUGUAUAUGGGAGAAGCCCUGAGCUCUCUGCAGAGAGGGAAGGAAGGGGUGGGAGAGGCUGAGGUAAGGUGACUACCUGGAGAGGAUGCUCUGCAUGGGGACAUGCAUUCAUUUGGGCAGCUGCUGGGGAUGGAGAGGGAGAUGCAGAGGGAAGUCCCCUGUUCAGUCACUUUGACACUUGCUGGCACCGUGACUUGUUUUCUACCUCCCGCAACACCAUCGAUGCUGCUCCCUGCUCCAGAAAGGCCGUUUGAUGCCAAAGCUGACCUGGGAGAGAGGGGUGUUAGAAUGCUUAUGCUCCUGAUGAGGAGAUAAGUUCCCCAGUCCCACCAGGACCUGGCCAGAGUGUUUCUUCCUUGCCACCUGCAGCCUCUGAGGCCUCCGUGUCAUGGUGACCUGGGAUGGUGGGAGGCAUCUCACCACUGGCCCUGCUCCUGCUGCGAAGCUGGUUCCCACUGAGUGGGGUGGGGGAGAAGAGAUGCCAACUUCUGCGGUAGCUGCUGAGUUGAUCAGCCUCUGCCACAUUGCCACCCCACAGCUUGCCUGAUGCUUGGCUCUUCCCUGCCCAGCCCUCAUCAACUCUGAAAAGGAAAGAUAUUUUUCUUUUCAGGCAGCAAAUUGUAAAUAAUGUCCGUGCUCCACUCUCCCACAGAAAGGUGUUUAAACCAGCUGUACGUGUCUUUCAAAAUGCAGGGAAGAUGUAGUGAAGAAGGGAGCAGGCUGUAUAAAUCAAGUCAUCCUUUGCAUGCUUCUCCCUGCUUUGUCUAUCUUUUUAAAAAUUCAUAAGCUGGGAGACCACCUACCCUGCUGUAAUGCCUUCCUGGGUGAAAUCCAAAAGUGUAGAGGGUCAGAUCCUUACCUGCAGUAGUUUAAUGUAAUUCCAUUAAAAUCAAAGGAGCUGUUCUCAUUUAUCAUAGUGAAGGUCCUCUUGCAGAAAGCAUUUUUAACUGCCAGUAUCCUCACUGAGCACGAGGGAAAGAAAUCCAUGGUAAUUAGGGGGGAAUAUUUAGCCCAUCUAGUUUAAAGGUGUUCCUAUUUCAGUUGUGCUUAGGGGUUCCUAUCAAAGGAAAAGGUACUGAUACAAGGGUUUGGGUUGGCACAAGUUUAUUUCUGGAUUGACUUAAGCUGUCAGGGCUAAGUAGAUCAAGAAGAAUAGCAUUCAAAUUAUGAGAGCUUCAAGGCUUUGUAGAUAACAAAGAGAAUCUAAUUUUAAUUAUGAUCUUCAGUGAAUUUUGAAAAGGUCAUAUUUUUUUUUAUCGGCACGUAGAAGGACAAGGAGCAUCUACAUGAACUCUUUCCCCACCUUAAAGGUAGUAGCAUUCCUGGCUUUUAGCCCAAAGUCUGGGAAGGCCAAUAUGACUUUGUUUUUCCCUAGCAUUAUCUGGUACAACAUUAAAAAUGUCAUUGCUGCACUGCAAGGGCAGUAAAGCAGGGCUAAGAGUGAGCAGCUAUAAUCUAACUAGAAACUACUAGGGACAGGUGAAGACUCAUGUCUCUGCUCCUUCUUCUUGUAAGAGCAUGCUAGUUUACCACAAAGACAUGGGGGCAGAAGAAGCAAGAAGCCUCUGUGUGUUCAGAAGGCCUAUUAUGCCCCUAUUAGUUUUGCUAUGUAUUUAUCCUCUGGAAAGUUGACAGCGGAGCAAUUAGUCCACCCAGCUAUACAUAUAUAUAAAUUGCCUCUCUGUGUGUGUGAAUAAAUACACAUAUACAGCAGGGUGAGUGGUAUCUUGUGAGUGCAAAUUGAUGUGUACUGAACUGUAUUUUCUGAUUUUUUUUCCUCCAAGUUUUUUACCCUCCCACCAAUUCUUAGCAUGUUGCUGUGGCUAAAUCAUUCCUGAACUUUUUGGCAUGUCACAUUAAUUGUUUGCCAGUGAACAAAGUCUGAUUAGCAAGUUUCUAAAACAGAACUUGUGAGAUGCUCUACCUUUCAGGCUAAAAGACAAAAUUGUUUUUCAGUUGACUCAAGAUAUACCUCCAUCCCAGUUUGGAGGUACCUCCCUCACCCAACAAGAUUUAAAAACUUUAAGCAACUUUUAAAAUACCAGUCUCAGGCUUUGCCUUAACUUUAAAACUGUACUUUUGAACCAGAGGUUAAUUAACUCUAGUGGUUAUAAUGGUAGUAUUAUGUCCCUUGCUUCUAUGAGGAAUUUACAGAGUGUGCUGGUUUUGGCUGGGAUAGAGUUAAUUUUCUUCACAGUAGCUGGUAUGGGGCUGUGUUUUGGAUUCAUGCUGGAAACAGUGUCGAUAAUACAGGGCUGUUUUAGUCACUGUUGAGCAGUGCUUAUGCACAGUCAAGACCUUUUCUGCUUCUCACCCCACCAGUGAGUAGGCUGGGGGUGCACAAGGAGUUGGGAGGGGACACAGACAGGACAGCUGACCCAAACUGACCAAAGGGAUAUUCCAUACCAUAUGAUGUCA
This is an RNA transcript of Grus americana (Whooping crane), 5337 nucleotides long. It is a transcript of the gene named leucine rich repeat containing 3B, with no coding region annotated. The transcript is spliced from 3 exons. The record is from RefSeq and is a predicted model, not a curated record. Lineage: Eukaryota; Metazoa; Chordata; Aves; Gruiformes; Gruidae.